UACGGAGGGUGCGAGCGUUGCUCGGAAUCACUGGGCGUAAAGCGUACGCAGGCUGUUUCGUAAGUCGGGUGUGAAAUCCCGGGGCUCAACCCCGGAAUUGCGCCCGAGACUGCGGAGCUUGAAUGCGGGAGAGGGAAGCGGAAUUCCUGGUGUAGAGGUGAAAUUCGUAGAUAUCAGGAGGAACACCGGUGGCGAAAGCGGCCUCCUGGCCCGACAUUGACGCUCAUGUACGAGAGCGUGGGGAGCAAACAGG
Molecule: ribosomal RNA, 253 nt
Filed under: uncultured bacterium
Lineage: Bacteria
Description: partial 16S ribosomal RNA
Rfam family: Bacterial small subunit ribosomal RNA
Source: RNAcentral